This is a long non-coding RNA of Oncorhynchus gorbuscha (pink salmon), 994 nucleotides long. RefSeq lists it as uncharacterized. The transcript has 3 exons. The record is from RefSeq and is a predicted model, not a curated record. NCBI's taxonomy places the organism in Eukaryota, Metazoa, Chordata, Actinopteri, Salmoniformes, Salmonidae.
GACCAAAUAGUUGACUCGGAAGUUAUUAUCUGGUUAAACUGAAGUGGGGAUGGCAUGCGUGUGUGUAUUUUCAUUUUAAAAAGUUAACUACAGUAUAACAAUGGCAUCACUGUCCAUACUACAAUCAAUAUAGUAAUAUGUACAUUUAAGGGAAACGUAAUUAUGUUAUGAAAACGUGUAGCACUUGCAUGGCAUAGAUACUCGUGUUAGUCAGACUUUAGUGUUGGUUCAAUGUCAUCUAGUAUAGUGCGCUAAUUUAGCUAGUUGCUGUAGCUAUUUGCUUGCUAGCUAGCUUCUCAGUUAUGUGAUAAUGUGAAAGGAUUUUGCUCAUACCCGGGCCAGAAAUACUGAUUUGGUGGGCUGUAAGUUAGCUGACUGACUGCUGCCAUGACUGGACCCAGCCAUGAAUAUAACUCUGUACUUCAGCGCUGUCGACUAGGGCCUAAAGAAUGUGUGUUUCAAAAGCCCCAUGGCCCCAUUUCACUGUCUCCAUUGGCUGAGUAGUCCCUGUCUCAUCUGUGGCCCCUUCUCGGUCUCGACAAGCGUCAAGGUUCGUUCAUACCGACAGUAUAUGAAGCGGAAGAUCCAGCCCCCGCCAAGUCCUUCAUAGUCAUACCCCCAUGUCUGCCAGGUGGGUGACCUGGUGCUUCGAGUCCAGGCUGCAGUGGUGGACCCUGGGACCGCACAGGGUCCGGAGGCUCAGGAGGUGAUCCGCACCAUGGUGAAGGCCUGAAUGAGAAGGCAGAGCCUGUGACCUGGCAAGUGAGCGGGUGGCCCGCAUGCAUCCUACAGCUUCAGAUGGAUCACUUGGAUGGAGUCCGGUACAUUGACCGCAUGGACAGUAAAACCUUCAACGUGAAAUGGGCAGCAGUUUCAAACUAACCUUGUCACCCUGAUUGAGCACUAAGACAACUUCUUGGACAUAAUAUACAACAGACCAUGAAGAAACCUUUCUUACUGAUUCUUUAUUAAUAAAUGUAUUUAUGAAGCCAGA